RNAcentral lists this unclassified non-coding RNA (381 nucleotides) under Hevea brasiliensis (rubber tree). Lineage: Eukaryota; Viridiplantae; Streptophyta; Magnoliopsida; Malpighiales; Euphorbiaceae. The record is from RNAcentral.
GGGUUAAUGGUGAGGGAUCUUUUGCAACCUGCAAUAGUUUGGCUUCUUAAGCUUAGUGGUGGCUCUUCUUCCUUUUGUAGCUAUGUUCGUUUUUGACGGGUAGGGGUUGGUCAGCAACGGUUAUUCUCUGACUUAAAGCCAGGAGAUUUUGCGGGAUCCAUGGGUCUCCUUUUAGUUGCAUGGUAACUUUUAGAGACGUAUCGGUGGCCUCUCGUCGACAUUCAGUCUCUUAAAAGGAGAAGGGUUCUAAGGAUCUCUGUCUCUUGGCUAUGUGGUCCCCUUGGCUUCAGAUUCGGCUUCUUCCUUGGCUCCAUGUUCUUUGCUGUGAAAAGGUCUUUUGGGUUGCUCAGUUUCUUGGAGGUGUUUAUGAGUAUGGUAUCA